RNAcentral lists this ribosomal RNA (459 nucleotides) under uncultured bacterium. RNAcentral describes it as "partial 16S ribosomal RNA". It matches the Rfam family "Bacterial small subunit ribosomal RNA", at positions 338 to 795 of the family's 1533-position model. The record is from RNAcentral.
CCUACGGGGGGCAGCAGUGAGGAAUAUUGGUCAAUGGUCGGGAGACUGAACCAGCCAAGCCGCGUGAGGGAGGAAGGUACAGAGUAUCGUAAACCUCUUUUGUCAGGGAACAAAGGCGGGGACGUGUCCCCGGAUGAGUGUACCUGAAGAAAAAGCAUCGGCUAACUCUGUGCCAGCAGCCGCGGUAAUACGGAGGAUGCGAGCGUUAUCAGGAUUGAUUGGGUUUAAAGGGUGCGGGGGGGGUCUGUUAAGUCAGCGGGAAAAGCCCGGGGCGAAACCCGGGCCCGCCGUUGAAACUGGCAGUCUCGAGUUGGAGAGAAGUAUGCGGAAUGCGCGGUGUAGCGGUGAAAUGCAUAGAUAUCGCGCAGAACUCCGAUUGCGAAGGCAGCAUGCCGGCUCCACACUGACGCUGAGGCACGAAAGCGUGGGUAUCGAACAGGAUUAGAUACCCGUGUAGUC